CCUACGGGAGGCAGCAGUGGGGAAUCUUGCGCAAUGGGCGAAAGCCUGACGCAGCGACGCCGCGUGCGGGAAGAAGGCCUUCGGGUUGUAAACCGCUUUCAGGAGGGACGAAGCCACUCGGGUUAAUAGCCCAGAGGGUGAUGGUACCUCCAGAAGAAGCCCCGGCUAACUACGUGCCAGCAGCCGCGGUAAU
This 193-nucleotide ribosomal RNA is filed under the name uncultured bacterium. Its description in RNAcentral is "partial 16S ribosomal RNA". It matches the Rfam family "Bacterial small subunit ribosomal RNA", at positions 338 to 524 of the family's 1533-position model. The record is from RNAcentral.